This is a long non-coding RNA of Oncorhynchus masou masou (cherry salmon), 4672 nucleotides long. RefSeq lists it as uncharacterized. NCBI's taxonomy places the organism in Eukaryota, Metazoa, Chordata, Actinopteri, Salmoniformes, Salmonidae. The record is from RefSeq and is a predicted model, not a curated record. The transcript is spliced from 4 exons.
AUAGUAAAUUCUAAAACUAUUUCCGGAAGUGGCGCAAAAUUCCUGUGCCAACUUGUAUGAAUUUAAACAGACAGCGAAAGUUGUUUAAAUUGCAGUUCAAGAUAACGAUACUACUUUUAGAAACACAUCUGCUAACAAAUGGACUCGUAGGCACUUGUUUCGCUGCGAAACCUAGCGAUGAAGAUUGAAACUGCCGGUCUUUAGCAGGCACACCAGAAAUACGACGAAGAAUGUAUGAAACAUACUUCCACCAGAGAUACAGUAGCUAUAUAAUGACGAGAUUGGUCUCCGAUAAGCUGGCGGUCUGCCAAAAUACCUUUGAAACUAGAUGUCAUUUAUAUGAAUUGAAUGUUCCACUGGGUAGAGGUGAGGCCACGAUCAUAGCACUGAGGGUGCAGUGCGAUUUCUGCAUGAGCUGCACUCGGAGGUCAGCGGCCUCAAUGUGGUACCUGAUGAGCUGCUUGUAGUUAAUAAUAGCCAUGUGACUCAUUAGUAUACAUAUUUAGAGAAUGAUUUACAUAACUGGCUUGUUGUGAAGGAGCAGCUAAUGCGCCAACAGGCAGGAAGCCUAGAGCGUUGGUCUUGUUACCGGAAGGUUGCAAGAUCGAAUCCCCGAACUGACCAGGUAAAAAUGUCGUUCUGCCCCUGAACAAGGCAGUUAGCCCACUGUUCCUAGUGUAGCCGAUGUGAAAUGGCUAGCAAGUUAACGGUGGUGCGGGGCUAAAAGCGUUUCAAUCGUUGACGUCACUCGCUGAGACCUGAAGUAGUUCCCCUUGCUCUGCAAGGGCCGCGGCUUUUGUGGCACGAUGCUUCAGGGGUGUCAGUUGUCUGUGUGUGCAGAGGGUAUCUGGUUCGAGCCCGGGGCGACGAAAGCUAUACUGUUAAAUUGAUGCUGUUGACCCGGAUCACUGGUUGCUGCGGAAAAAGAGGUCAAAAGUGCGACUCCGACUAGACCAACAAUACCAUCAGCACCACUCUCAACCUUUCAGGUUAUGUCGACAUAGGACUCGUUUUACUGUGGAUAUAGAUACUUUUGUACAUGUUUCCUCCAGCAUCUUCACAAUGUCCUUUGCUGUUGUUAUGGGACUGAUUUGCACUUUUCGCACCAAAGUACGUUCAUCUCUAGGAGACGGAACGCAUCUCCUUCCUGAGCGGUAUGACGGCUGCGUGGUCCCAUGGUGUUUAUACUUGCGUAAUAUUGUUUGUACAGAUGAACGUGGUACCUUCAGGCGUUUGGAAAUUGCUCCCAAUGAUGAACCAGACUUGUGGAGGUCCAAUUUUUUUCUGAGGUUUUGGUUGAUUUCUUUUGAUUUUCCCAUGAUGUCAAGCAAAGAGGAACUGAGUUUGAAAGUAGGCUUUGAAAUACAUCCACAGGAACACCUCCAAUUGACUCAAAUGAUGUCAAUUAGCCUAUCAGAAGCUUCUAUAGCCAUGACAUCAUUUUCUGGAAUUUCCCAAGCUGUUUAAAAGUACAGUCAAUUUAAGGGUGAGACACACACAGGCAGAUGAAGAACAAGAUCACUUGGAACUUCCAACCUCCAAUAGAGGCGCCAAUCAAGCCUGGUUAUAUAAUGUGCUGGAGAUCUCGAUCAUUGGAUGUACAGUGGAAAAAAUCUACACCAGAGAUGCCAAGCAGAGUCCUUUCUGGGCAACUUUGCCCUUUACGGGUGGUGGUGGAGGCCGUGGGGAGCAGAGCAUGGGGCAGGAAAGCCCCCCUCUCAAUCCUGGAGCCAGACGGUUCCACCCAGGCAUCCAACCUGGGUACCCUGCGGGUGAGGGGAUUACCCCGAGCCAUUCGGUCCCGAGAUGCCGGACCUAAGCUCUGUCACACAGGACCUCUUAAGCUCAUUUCCCAGAGCAAGAAACUCCCCACAGCAGUAGUUCAGCCACACUACAUACCUUCAAUCCUCCACACAGCAACAGGGAAGAACAGGUCCACUCUGAUAAUACCAACAAGAAAGUAGAAUAUAUUUAUUAAUAACAUAUCCUUAAAAAGAGUUACACCAUUACCAAUUCCAAUAGAUUUACUUACUAGUCAAACCUCUGCUCUCUUUUUGUCAUUCCUCCAGGCCCCAAAUCUUCCCUCCAGGGCGGUGUCAGGCCAUGGUGUCAGAAAGUCUUCCCUCCAGGGCGGUGUCUGGCCAUGGUGUCAGAAAGUAUUCCAAGCUACGUGAGACAGAUUCCUCUGUCCAGCCUCAACCAGGCCAUUCAGAAGAGUAUUUUGGGACUCGGUUGCCUCAGGUGGUCAUGCAGGGUUUCUGAUGGAGGAGCUGAAGAGGAUCACGGGGGUGGGCAUCAAAGCCCCCAUGUACUUUAGGUGUCUGACUGAGCUGAAGAGGUUGUAGCAUGUGCAGGGAGUAGGUACCAGCGCCAUGUAUAAAAUUCUGUCACAGACGCAUACCUGAUCGGAAUUAAAAUGACAUUCCCUACCUUCUUAAACCUCCCAAAUGACUCGACACUACUGAGUGAGGUCCCAUUUACUGACCAUCAUUUGAGUAGGCCUUGACUUUUUGUUGUUACAUUACAGCCUUAUUAUAAAAUUGAUUAAAUGAUUUGUUUUCCUCAUCAACACACAAUACCCCACAAUGACAAAGCGAAAACUGGUUAAAAUAAAACACUGAAAUACCUUCUUUACAUAAAUAUUCAGACCCUUUACUCAGUACUUUGUUGAAGCACUUUUGGCAGCGAUUACAGCCUCGAGUCUUCUUGGUUAUGACGCUUCAAGCUUGGCACACCUGUAUUUGGGGAGUUAAUUUUUAUUAUUCUCUAUAGAUCCUCUCAAGCUCUGUCAGGUUGGAUAUGGAGCAUCGCUGCACAGCUAUUUUCAGGUCUCUACAGAGAAGUCCGGGCUCUGUCUGGGCCACUAAAGGACAUUCAGAAGCUUGUCCCGAAGCCAGUCGUGCGUUGUCUUGGCUGUGUGCUUAGGGUCAUUGUCUUGUUGGAAGGUGAACCUUCGCCCCAGUCUGAGAACCUGCCCCAGAGUGCUCAGGACUUCAUCAAGGAUCUCUCUGCUCCAUUCAUCUUUCCCUCAAUCCUGACUAGUCUCCCAGUCCCUGCUGCUGAAAACACCCCCAUAGCAUGAUGCUGCCACCACCAUGCUUCACCGUAGGGAUGGUGCCAGGUUUCCUUCAGAUGUGACACUUGGCAUUCAGGCCAAAGAGUUCAAUCUUGGUUUCUUCAGACCAUAAAAUCUUGUUUCUCAUAGUCUGAGUCCUUCAGGUGCCAAAAGUCCAAGCUGGCCAUCAUGUGCCUUUUUACUGAGGAGUGUCUCCCGUCUGGCCACUACCAUAAAGGCCUGAUUGGCGGAGAGCUGUAGCGAUGUUGGUCCUUCUGGAAGGUUCUCCCAUCUCCACAGAUGAACUCUGGAGCUCUGUCAGCAUUACCAUCAGGUUCUUGGUCACCUCCCUGACCAAGGCCCUUCUCCCCCGAUUGCUCAGUUUGGCUGGGCGGCCACCUCUAGGGAGAGUCUUGGUGGUUCCAAACUUCCUCCAUUUAAGAAUGAUGGAGGCCACUGUUCUUGGGGACCUUCAAUGCUGCAAAGAUUUUUUGGUAACUCUCCCCAGAUCUGGCAACUUUCAUAAAUUACGUGCAUUACCACCACUGUUUGAGUGAUGCCUGCCACUAGUGGUGGUGAAUACUCUCAGCAGAAGUGGACACGUCUGUAGGCAAUCUUUUUUACACACGUUGAUUCCGACACAAUCAUCAGAACUCCAAUACAUGCAAGCCUGCCGCUGCGUACAAAGCCGUAGGCAUGUCUUUAUGCCUCCCACUGUUUGAAAAACUCACGGGUGACCAAUCUUCCACCUAGCCCCUUCUUUUUAAUGGUAUCUGUUGCUUUUAUACAUGUCUUACUCUCGCUCAAAAGACUUGUGGCUUAUUUUUUUUCAUUGGCAUGUUUCGUUUCUAAAUGUCUGCACAAGACUGAAGGUUUCACCCACGAGAGAGUAACGGUUAAGGUGAUUGGAUGUUCAUUAUUUGACGAGGCUACCUGUAUUUGACAGUGUUGUUAUUUCACUGAACACUAGAUGGUUUCAUUUUAUUUUUGGCAGUGAAACAUGGCUAGUCAGGUGACAAAAAACCCUCACCCAAAUGUAUAGCCCCCUUGGAAAAUAUAAAUGGACUGUUUGGAAAUGUGAAGAAACAUUUUUUGAUUUUUUUUAAUAAAAUGAUUUUAAAAAAGUUAAUCACAAUUUUAUUUGGCGUACCCGUGGGGGAGGAUGUCUUCCUUAAUUCACCCCCCAUAAAUGUAACGGACCUAUACCAGGAGCUGUGUCAGGCCCACCACGUCUGUUGACUCAUCCAGAUGUACCACAUAGAAUUCACUGGCUUCGCGUACCCCAGAUUGGGAAAACCUGGUCUAGCCAACAACAGCAUAGCAUGAGUGCCUCAAAACCAAUAAUGUAUAUAAACCAUGGAUUGCUGAUGCUAUGUAUUGGCCAUUGAGAGGCCAUAUUGUCACUCCCCAGUGGGAGCAGUCCUCCAUAGGGAUUAAUGGAAUUCUACAUUAUUUCAAUUAAUGUUAUAAGUACAAUUACAUGUAUCUUUGUUAUAGUGGGGACAGUAAGUAUUAAAACGUAUACUUUAAGGAACAUUUUAUAGAUGUAGAUGUUUUUAUUUACCAUGUCAAAUGAUGCAUUCGGGUGUCUAAUAUAAUAAAUGUGGCAAAAACGAA